CCUACGGGAGGCAGCAGUGAGGAAUAUUGGUCAAUGGGCGAGAGCCUGAACCAGCCAAGUCGCGUGAAGGAUGACGGCCCUACGGGUUGUAAACUUCUUUUGUCAGGGAGCAAUUGAGUCCACGUGUGGGCUUAGCGAGAGUACCUGAAGAAAAAGCAUCGGCUAACUCCGUGCCAGCAGCCGCGGUAAUACGGAGGAUGCGAGCGUUAUCCGGAUUUAUUGGGUUUAAAGGGUGCGUAGGCGGGAUGCCAAGUCAGCGGUAAAAAUGCGGUGCUCAACGCCGUCGAGCCGUUGAAACUGGCGUUCUUGAGUGGGCGAGAAGUAUGCGGAAUGCGUGGUGUAGCGGUGAAAUGCAUAGAUAUCACGCAGAACUCCGAUUGCGAAGGCAGCAUACCGGCGCCCUACUGACGCUGAGGCACGAAAGCGUGGGUAUCGAACAGGAUUAGAUACCCGAGUAGUC
Molecule: ribosomal RNA, 460 nt
Filed under: uncultured bacterium
Lineage: Bacteria
Description: partial 16S ribosomal RNA
Rfam family: Bacterial small subunit ribosomal RNA
Source: RNAcentral